RNAcentral lists this ribosomal RNA (468 nucleotides) under uncultured bacterium. RNAcentral's name for it is "partial 16S ribosomal RNA". It matches the Rfam family "Bacterial small subunit ribosomal RNA", at positions 28 to 507 of the family's 1533-position model. The record is from RNAcentral.
GACGAACGCUGGCGGCGUGCUUAACACAUGCAAGUCGAACGGAAAGGCCCUGCUUUUGUGGGGUGCUCGAGUGGCGAACGGGUGAGUAACACGUGAGUAACCUGCCCUUGACUUUGGGAUAACUUCAGGAAACUGGGGCUAAUACCGGAUAGGAGCUCCUGCUGCAUGGUGGGGGUUGGAAAGUUUCGGCGGUUGGGGAUGGACUCGCGGCUUAUCAGCUUGUUGGUGGGGUAGUGGCUUACCAGGGCUUUGACGGGUAGCCGGCCUGAGAGGGUGACCGGCCACAUUGUGACUGAGAUACGGCCCAGACUCCUACGGGAGGCAGCAGUGGGGAAUAUUGCACAAUGGGCGGAAGCCUGAUGCAGCAACGCCGCGUGCGGGAUGACGGCCUUCGGGUUGUAAACCGCUUUCGCCUGUGACGAAGCGUGAGUGACGGUAAUGGGUAAAGAAGCACCGGCUAACUACGUG